UUGUUAAUUGAUGAUAAGCUGGAAUAAUAUUAAUACACACAAAGCACAUGUUGUAACUUUUAUUAUGCUUCCUUAGAGGUAAGAUGCAAACUUGCCCUUAGGUAGUGUAAGAUGGUAAAUAUGACUUCAUCAAAUUAAAAAAAAAAGGAGAAGAAGUACAGUUAAUCAGAAGAAUUAUCUUGACUAGAACUUUCCAAAUUUGUCCUAAGGACUCUCCUAGAGAUGACACUGUGACAUAGUAACCAAUUCCCCUGGAGUUGUGCUAUCUAGUAUGACAGUCAUUUGCCAUAUGUAUAAAUCAGUUAAAAUUAAUUAAAUUAAAAAUGCAAUUUCUCAUUUGCUCCAGAUAGAUUUCAAGUGCUCAACAGCCACAUAUGGCAAGUGGCUGCCAUUUUGUGCAGCACAUAUAUGAAGAUUUUCAUCAUUGCAGAAAAUUGCGUUGGACGAUGUAGAGAAAACAUGAUUUACAGAAAAGCUAUUGUUAUUUAAAUACAGUGUUCUAUAUUAGUCAGUGGGAUAAUACCAUAUCAUAGUUAAAUGGCAAUAGCAAUUCUGUAAGACUCCCAAGCUGGCAGCCUGUUAUCGAUUACAUUGAUAGUAAAUUUGAGGACUACCUAAAUGCAGAAUCAUGCAUGAACAGACAUCAGAUGCCUGAUAACAGGGUGCAGUGUUGUUUAUCCUUCAUUGCUUCUUCAGGACAUCGACAGUUACAUAACUGAAGACUCCCACCUUCAAGCAGGAUUGCGUAGUACAUGUUUGUAACUACUUCACAUUGCCUUUUGUUGAGACUUAAACCAUUGGAUAUUGAGUUUAUGAAGCGUUUGCAUGAAAAAGUGAAUAUCAUCCCACUUAUUGCCAAAGCAGACACACUCACACCAGAGGAAUGCCAACAGUUUAAAAAACAGUUUGUGUGUAUGCACAUGUACACGCAAGGAUUUUUCUGAUGAAUGUGCAGGGAGCAGUGGUGUACUUAGUUUUACUUUACUUUUGCCAGAUUCUACUAAAAAUUUUAAGUGAGUUUAGCCCUGUUUAUUCAACUAAAUAAGACACUUGGGGAUUUAUAUCUAAAGGAAAAAUCUCAGUCAUUGUAAAUAAAUGACCUAAAGUCAUUAUUGUGGAAAUCAAUCAGAGAAAUCCCUUUCUGGAGUUUUACAUCUUUUUUGGAACUCUUUUGGUAUGAUAGCUAUAUGACUUUAACACUUCUGAAGUAAUUGGAUUUGGUGUUUAUAUAUCAACUUUACAGUUUUAAAAAAAAAAGACCAGCAUAGUACUUUGAUUUUAGAUUAUAAUUUUGCAUCAUUAAAAAACAGUAAAGGAUCUGGAAACAAGGGGCCAUAUAGGAAUCUAAGAAGCAUGUAAUAAACAUAAGACUAAUGUACUAAUUAUUAAUGUACCAAUUAUGUAUGGUACUCUUUGGCUGCUUCUUCCAUUUUGCAUAAUGAAAGAAAUCCAAGAACAUAAAAUAUAUGAAUUUCCAGAAACAGAUGAUGAAGAAGAAAAUAAACUUGUUAAAAAGAUAAAGGUAGGUUCAUCCCUGUACAUACACUAAAGUAAUCUGAGACCUUAAAAACAUACUACAACGUCCACAGGAAAGAUCAAAAGUAUCAGUGUUUUAAGUAGUUGGCUUAUAAAAUGCCUAGGGAGAUUUAAUGUUGAAUUCAACUUUAUAGUUAACUUUGAAGAUUAGCUAGUAUAUAUAAUAAGGAAUUGUAUAAACUACUGAGGUGAAUAACACAACCCUUAUUUCAAAUUGUUUUUAAUUAACUGGCUUUCAUAUUAUUUAAUUUUUUCCCUCCUAAAAAAUAAGUGAUGAGAAAGGAAAGGAGAGAAUUCCUUCUGUUAUGUUUUAAUUGCCAGACAAAAAUGUAUUUCUUUUGUCUUUAUAAAAGCCAACCAAAAUUAAAGCUAGAUAGGAGGAAUAAGUUCUAGCGUUCUGUAGCAUUGUAGGGUGGCUGUAGUUAACAGUAAUUUAGUCUAUAUUUUCAAAUAGCUAGAACAGAGGAUUAUGAAUGUUCCCAAUACUGAAAAAUAAGUAUGAGUUGAUAAAUGUGCGAAUUACUCUAAUUUGAUCAUUACAUAUUUGUAUACAGGUAUCAGAAUACCAUACUGUACCCCACAAAUAUGUACAAUUACGUUUCAAUUAAAAAUAAUAAAAACCAACCAAAAAUUUACAUCAAAAUAAUUUUCUGUAGUUUAAUUUAUCAUGGUUUUCUAAGUACUUUGGCCCUAAAAAUGGUAUACUGAAUAAUGGCAUUAUGUAAGCAAAUACCUUGGAAUAACGAAAUGCUUAUACCUCGCCAGUGAAGAAUUUCUGCAGUUGUAUGAAAUGGCUGGUUAUAUAUUUCCGGGAGCCACAGAAUUGUGAAGGGCUAUGCAUGGAUGAAUACAAAUCCAGUCACCUGGAUUUGAAAUUCAUGGUUAGAGCUUAGCAAAUAUACUAUUCCCUGCUUUAGGUACUGUUAUAGUUGGUUCAUGAUUAAGUAGGCAGGCUAGUCAUUAGCCUCCUUUUUUUUUUUAUCCUCAAAUGCUUUUCUAUACAUAUGUGUAUAUAUACACAUAUAUAUACACAUAUAUACACACACACACACACACAUAUAUAUAUAUAUAUAUAUAUUUUUUUUUUCUUUUGGAGACAGAGUCUUGCUCUGUCACCCAGGCUGGAGUGAAGUGGCACAUCUUGGCUCACUGUAAGCUCUGCCUCCCGGGUUCAUGCCAGUCUCCUGCCUCAGCCUCCCAAGUAGCUGGGACUACAGGCGCCCGCCGCCACGCCCGGCUAAUUUUUUGUAUGUUUAGUAGAGACCGGGUUUCACCAUGUUAGCCAGGAUGGUCUCGAUCUCCUGACUUCGUGAUCCACCCACCUCGGCCUCCCAAAGUACUGGGAUUAGAGGCGUGAGCCACCGCACCCAGCCAAUGCUAAUAUAUUUUUUACCUUUUUCCUCCCAAGUAUGGGACAAUUUUCUGUAGUGAUUUUUAGUAAAUAGUUUGCCCAGUAUAUUCUUGAAUAUUCUUAACUUUAAAGAGGAAAUUUGGCAGGGCGCAGUGGCACAUGCCUGUAAUCCCAGCACUUUGAGAGGACAAGGCAGGCGGAUCAGGAGGUGAUGGGUGAGGGGACCCAAGUAGCAGGAGGCUGGUGGUAUACUGACAGAAGUGGGUGGAAGAGGCCAAGGUGCAGCCAGCUGUCACUUCUUGGAACUCUCAAGUUAGAGGGCCCAUGGGAGGGCCUGUUGAAGGACUCAAGCAUUUGGAUUUCAACAACAGAGAGGACUUAAUCGCCUCUCAUUGUUACCCAGAAAAGCAGCAACUACCAACAGUGAAUUACAAAAGCCUUUCUCCUCCCUACCCCAGCAUAGGAGGGAAGGGGCUAGAGCCAGGAAACAGGAGGGAAUGGAAGUGUCCUAGAGGCAGGGUUACACUUUUCACUCUAAGGUGAGGGAGUGAGAAGAGGAGUUAAAGAGCAAAUCAAGCUCCCUAAACCACAAAAACAAUGGGCCCUAGGGGAGGGAAGUAAAAGAGAUUUAAAAUAAGUGACCUUGGACUUCUAAAAUGGAGAUAUUUUAAAUAAUCCAAAGUAUCAAAGAUGUAAAUAAACUCAUAUUUUGUAAUGGGAUCUACUAUUCAAUGAGUUGGGAAGUCUGACGUACUAUGAUUGGAGAGGGUAACUGGAAAAAGUAAAAAUUGGGUUACAGAAUAUCUCCACUAAACACUGGAAAAUCAGAUGAUUACAGACAGACUUAGACUAGCAGGAGAUAAGCCUAGAGAGAGGUAGGUGGGAGUCACAACAUUAAAGGCUAUAUUGUGCUAAGAAGCUAAGAACUUAGAACUUUGGACUCAAACUAUGGGAGCCACUGACAAAUUCUAGACAGGGGAGUCAUAUGAUCAGAGUGAAGAAGAUACCCUUUGACAACAGAGUAAAGACUGUUUGCAAGAAAGUCAGACUCAUCUAGAUUAGGUAGAUUACAAAAUACAAAUAAAACACUCUUGUUAGCAAAUAUUUAGGUAACUCUUUGUGACUAUGUCAAUAAAUUACAAUAUUUUUCUCUCAAUGUAAAAAAAAAUUACCAUACAUCUAAUGAUAAAAUUGUUUCCUAUGUCUUCAAUGUAAACUUCAGUAAAAUGUGUGUUUGCAUUUUUCAUCAUCUAUAAGCUGAUACGUUUUGCUAACUGGCUUACAUUUUAUGCCUCAAAAGACAAAUGGCUAUAUAGAAGACCAAAGCUAGAGAAGAUAUUACUUUACAAAAUUAAGACUGCUAUUCCUUGUUGAAUAAUAUUUUUAUAAUUUCCAGGCAACUAGAACUCAUGAAAAUUUUUUUUAUACGGUAACAUAUAUUUUUUCAAAGGUAUAUGUUUUUAGCAUCAUUACUUUAAAGCAAUUUUGAAUGCUAAACUGAGUUAAUCGCUCUAAAUUCCAUCUUUUACCCCCACCACUGACCUGAAAGUAUUCAGUUACAAUGAAGGUGGUACUUUAGAGACAAAAGUCUCCAACGGUGUUUCUGAAAACCGAACACCUAAUAGAAAAACAUUUCUAAUCAACCUUGCUGAACAUGGACAUUUUUCAGCUCAUUAGCCAGUCAAAUCAAACCAAAAACUGAACCUGGUUCCAACUUUUUUACCUUAGGGGAAGUAGAAUAUAUUGGUGAAAACGAGCCUAGAGAAAAAUGAAAGAUUUAUAACACUCUACAUUUAGGAAAACAUAUGACUGAGUGUUUUAUGCAACGUGGCUUGCUGAAAGUGCCUUAAAGUAGGAGACAGGACAGAAAGAGAAAAAGUCUACUCUUAGCUCAGGCAGUAACUAACUGGGGUAAACUCCCUGGUCUUUAUGUGGAGAGGCUGUAAAACAAAAAGCGCCUCUCGCUCAGGCAACUGCUCUAAGUUUAGAAAAGCUGGUGAGGAGAUGGUCUAUCUGCACUCUGUGAUUUAGUGGACUUGAAAAAAAAAAAGCACUAAGAACAAUCAGAGGAAAGAUGUGAUGACGAAGAUAAAGAAGGAAUAAGGGAACAGGACCAGGUGAUACUAGAUAGAAAAUAUCAAGAAAAGCAUUUAUAGAAGGACAAACAAGGCAAGUCAGUGUAAUGGCAAUGAAGAAACCGAAUGUGUACAGGAAGUGUACAGAAAGACUUUUCAAAUUCCAAUGGGCAGUGGAAUUGCAAACCCCUGCCACAGAACCUACUACCUUCGACUUGAGUUUGUUAUUUCUGGAUCUGCCUACCAAAGUCCAUAUUCCUCACUGAAGGUGGGGUUUAGGUAAUUGGGCAAUAGCCAAAAGUUUGAGGCUAAAGAUUGGUAUCAGAUUUAUACAUUAGAAGGCAAUAUAGAGAAUGGCCUUGGAGAUACGAAAAGAGAGAUCAGAAGAUGGUUUGAAGGUAAGAAGAAAUGUCAGAAGAAGUUGAGGGACCAGAAACCGGGUCCUUUACAGUUGAGGAGACAUCCUGCUGGAUAGAGUUUUAAAUGUUUCCUCCAGUUAUCUGCGUUAUUAUGCAGGAUUUUUGUCUCAGGAGUCUCCCCUUGAUUUUAUAAACUGACACAACUUCCUGUUUUGUUAUGAAUGCACACUGCUCCAGUCCUUCAAUAAACCCAUCGCACAUUUUCA
Symphalangus syndactylus (siamang) is the source of this 5587-nucleotide RNA transcript. It is a transcript of the gene named septin-7-like, with no coding region annotated. The record is from RefSeq and is a predicted model, not a curated record. Lineage: Eukaryota; Metazoa; Chordata; Mammalia; Primates; Hylobatidae.